RNAcentral lists this ribosomal RNA (476 nucleotides) under Phylladiorhynchus pusillus. RNAcentral's name for it is "partial large subunit ribosomal RNA". The stretch from base 352 to 476 matches the Rfam family "Bacterial large subunit ribosomal RNA", at positions 2473 to 2597 of the family's 2925-position model. The record is from RNAcentral. Lineage: Eukaryota; Metazoa; Arthropoda; Malacostraca; Decapoda; Galatheidae.
UUUUUAAAGGCCGCAGUAUCCUGACUGUGCAAAGGUAGCAUAAUAAUUAGUUUUUUAAUUGAAAGCUUGAAUGAAUGGUUGGACGAAGAAUAAGCUUUCUUUAAUAUUAAUUUAAAAUUUUACUUUUAAGUGAAAAGGCUUAAAUGUUUUUAAAAGACGAUAAGACCCUAUAAAACUUUAUAAACAAAAUAUUUUUUCUAUUUAUUAUGUUUAAAACUUUAAAAUAUUUAAUUUUAUUAUGUGGGGGUGACAAGAAUAAAUAAAUUACAAUAAACUGUUCUUUUUUAAAUACAAAAAUAUUUGAAAUAGUAAGAUCCUUUAUAUAAGAUUAAAAGAUCAAGUUACUUUAGGGAUAACAGCGUAAUUUUUUUAGAGAGUUCUUAUCGAAAAAAAAGGUUACGACCUCGAUGUUGAAUUAAAAUUUCUUUAUUGGUGUAGAAGCUAUAAAAGUAAGUCUGUUCGACUUUUAAAAUUUU